CAGCACAUCUUCUAAGUAUCCUAAUGCUGUCUGAAUGUGGAAAUUUCUCUCUGAGUCCUCUGAAGUGGUAUAAUCCAAAGGACAUCAUUUAUCUCCCUCGACAAGGCCCACUGAGCUCCAAUAUUCCAUGAGCUCAAGAGCUGGCACAGGGCAGCUGGGCCCAGCCCCAUUAUCCCUGGGUUCUUUUUUGCUGAGCUAUUCAUUCCAAGUUCCAUUCUGCUACCUAGGCUGGAAAUUCUACACACGCUCAGCUCAAAGGAAUGCAGCUCAUGCUGGCCAAAGACUUGCCAGGAAAUGGGGAGUAACUUUUCAUUUGUGGCUUCCUCUCUCAGAUCUGUGAGCUACUGCCUGGCCUGUUCCACUGAUGACCUUUUCCAAUUGGGGAGCAGCUACUUUCAGGAACAUGGUGACCUGACCUCAAGAACAAAGGAUCUGACACCAAGAAGUUUGCAGCAACUAACCAUGCCUCUGUCUUACCUUUCCUAGAAAAGGGCUUUGCUGAAAGCUUUUGGGGAGUUUGGGGUUUUUAAGGCAUGAGCCACCCCUCUCCUUGCGUGGCCCCACAAUAAACCUUUCUCUGCUCCAAA
Orcinus orca (killer whale) is the source of this 587-nucleotide long non-coding RNA. RefSeq lists it as uncharacterized. The transcript has 2 exons. NCBI's taxonomy places the organism in Eukaryota, Metazoa, Chordata, Mammalia, Artiodactyla, Delphinidae. The record is from RefSeq and is a predicted model, not a curated record.